This 381-nucleotide ribosomal RNA is filed under the name uncultured bacterium. RNAcentral's name for it is "bacterial SSU rRNA". It matches the Rfam family "Bacterial small subunit ribosomal RNA", at positions 30 to 422 of the family's 1533-position model. The record is from RNAcentral.
AUUGAACGCUGGCGGCAGGCUUAACACAUGCAAGUCGAGCGGAGACUUCGGUCUUAGCGGCGAACGGGUGAGUAAUACCUAGGAAUCUGCCUAUUAGUGGGGGAUAACGGCUCGAAAGGGUCGCUAAUACCGCAUACGUCCUACGGGAGAAAGUGGGGGAUCUUCGGACCUCACGCUAAUAGAUGAGCCUAGGCCGGAUUAGCUAGUUGGUAGGGUAAAGGCCUACCAAGGCGACGAUCCGUAGCUGGUCUGAGAGGAUGAUCAGCCACACUGGAACUGAGACACGGUCCAGACUCCUACGGGAGGCAGCAGUGGGGAAUAUUGGACAAUGGGGGCGAACCCUGAUCCAGCCAUGCCGCGUGUGUGAAGAAGGCCUCGUGU